UACGUCUCACGUAACUGGCGAAACACCAUGUACGCUCCAGCUUCCGGCGCGCAUGGCAAAGGUGGGUAACCACCGGGGAACGUGAGAUGUCACCCGCCGUUCGCCUGGGCAGCCAUC
RNAcentral lists this non-coding RNA (117 nucleotides) under Massilia sp. 9I. Its description in RNAcentral is "pfl". It matches the Rfam family "ZMP/ZTP riboswitch aptamer (pfl RNA motif)". Rfam says of the family: Previously known as pfl RNA. Lineage: Bacteria; Pseudomonadati; Pseudomonadota; Betaproteobacteria; Burkholderiales; Oxalobacteraceae. The record is from RNAcentral.